RNAcentral lists this long non-coding RNA (564 nucleotides) under Amazona collaria (yellow-billed parrot). Its description in RNAcentral is "lncRNA (ENSACOG00000008063.1)". The record is from RNAcentral. Lineage: Eukaryota; Metazoa; Chordata; Aves; Psittaciformes; Psittacidae.
AUGAUCCCUGUGGGAACCUCCAGUCUACACAACAGGCACCUGGGAACAUCCUCCGUACAAGUGACCCACAUUGCAGGAGCACAGGGAACACAACUGGAUGGGUUUCCAAUAGGCAACAGCUCCAGCCAUGAAACACAACAAAGGGACCAUGAUUCAGAGGGCAAGGUGAAGCUUGCAAUCUCUAUGGGAACUGGAGACCGGUCUAAUGACAGGGCACAAGAAGAAGCAAGAGCACAGGUCCAGCAGAUGAACAGAAACCAUCAGAUCACAGACAAAAGCUGAGAAAAUGAGGCAAUCAGUGUGUUUAGGUUUAAAACACAAGUCCAAGGACCAUGGUGUGGGGACCUACACCUGACACAAAAGCAGCCCACAAAGUACUGAAGCAGGGCUGUCCAUGGAGGGGACGGAUGGUUACUUCAGGAGAAUGCAGAACGGCAAGGAAGCAAUGCCAAACUCAGACAAGGGAUUCCUAUUCAUUCUAUUUCCAAGUCUUUACUAUCUUUAAUGCCUGUUGAAAUAAAACAUUUGGAAGAAAAAUCCGCCCUGAUGGUUUAACUUUCUCAC